Molecule: long non-coding RNA, 957 nt
Organism: Empidonax traillii (willow flycatcher)
Lineage: Eukaryota; Metazoa; Chordata; Aves; Passeriformes; Tyrannidae
Exons: 2
Source: RefSeq, a predicted model, not a curated record
GAGCAGAGGGGCUUUUUGCUUCCAAAUGGGGUGUUCUGGCACCAAGAACGUCCCCACGCCCUGCGUGCCAGGGCUGUGCUUGGGUCAGCCCUGCUGCUCCUCGAGGCAGCAAGCUGGGACACCACAGGUCCCCCUUCCCAGUGCCAUCCGUGUCUUCCCAAAUCACUUGGACCCACCAGCUUUGGAGCAAACCUUGUAAUGUGGGGCCUGUUGGGCAGGGAAGGGGUUGUGGGAAGCCUCACACCAGCCAUGGUGACUGUGCCAGGAGAGGGGAAAGAGGCACCUGGAGAGGCAGGACAGGGGUGAUCCCAACCCCAUGCUGGGGAAUGACCCGUUGGGAGUGGAGGUGGAGGGUUCCAGCUCUUGGGAAUGACCUGUUGGGAGUGGAGGGCUCCAGCUCGCUGGGCAAACAAAGCAUUCCUGGGAUGCUCUUUCUCUCUAUUUUUGUAGGAUGGGGGGUGGGAGAGCAGAUGGGAGAUGCCUGCGGAAGUUGUUUAUUUUUAACCCUGGUUGGUUUUGGUUUUUGGCCUUUAAAAAAAUAAAAUGGUCCUUGCUUUUGAUGUUUAUGCUGCCUACCUGUAAAUCCAGAUGUACUUAAGUGGCUGAAAUCCUUGUUCUUAAAUCAGAUACACAUUAUAGUUUUGAACUAUAUAUAUAGUAAAUAUAUAUAUAUAUAUGCCUAACCCAGCAAAAAAAAAAUAAAAAAAUAAAGUAUUUGGGGGUGGGAAAUGCGUUGCUCUUUGAAAUGAAUCACAAUUGGGGGAUGAAAUUGUGUUUCUGAGUGCCUCAAGAUAUGAAUUGUUUUCAUUUUUUUAAAUAAUUUUAUACAAGUGUCAAAACAGCUGGCUGGAUUAUUUGGAAUUUUUAAAUAAUCCUAACUUUUUUAAAGUAGAUUUUGAGAACUGUCCUGUAUAUAACAGUAAUGUAGCAAUAAAUGUGACAUUUUAUAACAAUAUU